GAGUUUGAUCAUGGCUCAGGAUGAACGCUGGCGGCGUGCUUAACACAUGCAAGUCGAACGAACCUUCGGGUUAGUGGCGGACGGGUGAGUAACGCGUGAGAAUCUGCCCUCAGGAGGGGGAUAACAGCUGGAAACGGCUGCUAAUACCCCAUAUGCCGCGAGGUGAAAUGAAUUUCGCCUGAGGAUGAGCUCGCGUCUGAUUAGCUAGUUGGUGUAGGUAAUGGCUCACCAAGGCAUCGAUCAGUAGCUGGUCUGAGAGGAUGAUCAGCCACACUGGGACUGAGACACGGCCCAGACUCCUAUGGGAGGCAGCAGUGGGGAAUUUUCCGCAAUGGGCGAAAGCCUGACGGAGCAACGCCGCGUGAGGGAUGAAGGCCCCUGGGCUGUAAACCUCUUUUAUCAAGGAAGAAGAUCUGACGGUACUUGAUGAAUAAGCCACGGCUAAUUCCGUGCCAGCAGCCGCGGUAAUACGGGAGUGGCAAGCGUUAUCCGGAAUUAUUGGGCGUAAAGCGUCCGCAGGCGGCCCUUCAAGUCUGCUGUUAAAAAGUGGAGCUUAACUCCAUCAUGGCAGUGGAAACUGAUGGGCUUGAGUGUGGUAGGGGCAGAGGGAAUUCCCGGUGUAGCGGUGAAAUGCGUAGAUAUCGGGAAGAACACCAGUGGCGAAGGCGCUCUGCUGGGCCAUCACUGACGCUCAUGGACGAAAGCCAGGGGAGCGAAAGGGAUUAGAUACCCCUGUAGUCCUGGCCGUAACGAUGAACACUAGGUGUCGGGGGAAUCGACCCCCUCGGUGUCGUAGCCAACGCGUUAAGUGUUCCGCCUGGGGAGUACGCACGCAAGUGUGAAACUCAAAGGAAUUGACGGGGGCCCGCACAAGCGGUGGAGUAUGUGGUUUAAUUCGAUGCAACGCGAAGAACCUUACCAGGGUUUGACAUCCUGCGAAUCUCUUGGAAACGAGAGAGUGCCUUCGGGAGCGCAGUGACAGGUGGUGCAUGGCUGUCGUCAGCUCGUGUCGUGAGAUGUUGGGUUAAGUCCCGCAACGAGCGCAACCCACGUCUUUAGUUGCCAGCAUUUAGUUGGGCACUCUAGAGAGACCGCCGGUGAUAAACCGGAGGAAGGUGUGGAUGACGUCAAGUCAUCAUGCCCCUUACAUCCUGGGCUACACACGUACUACAAUGCUACGGACAAAGGGCAGCAAGUUCGCGAGGACAAGCAAAUCCCAUAAACCGUGGCUCAGUUCAGAUCGUAGGCUGCAACUCGCCUACGUGAAGGAGGAAUCGCUAGUAAUCGCAGGUCAGCAUACUGCGGUGAAUACGUUCCCGGGCCUUGUACACACCGCCCGUCACACCAUGGAAGUUGGCCACGCCCGAAGCCGUUACUCCAACCCUUGUGGAGGAGGACGUCGAAGGUGGGGCUGAUGACUGGGGUGAAGUCGUAACAAGGUAACC
Molecule: ribosomal RNA, 1445 nt
Filed under: uncultured marine cyanobacterium
Lineage: Bacteria; Bacillati; Cyanobacteriota
Description: bacterial SSU rRNA
Rfam family: Bacterial small subunit ribosomal RNA
Source: RNAcentral